Molecule: ribosomal RNA, 439 nt
Filed under: uncultured bacterium
Lineage: Bacteria
Description: partial 16S ribosomal RNA
Rfam family: Bacterial small subunit ribosomal RNA
Source: RNAcentral
CUACGGGAGGCUCCAGUGGGGAAUAUUGGACAAUGGGCGAAAGCCUGAUCCAGCAAUGCCGCGUGUGUGAAGAAGGCCUGCGGGUUGUAAAGCACUUUCAGUUGGGAAGAUGAUGACGUUACCAACAGAAGAAGCACCGGCUAAAUCCGUGCCAGCAGCCGCGGUAAUACGGAUGGUGCGAGCGUUAAUCGGAAUUACUGGGCGUAAAGCGCGCGUAGGCGGCUAAGUCAGUCAGAGGUGAAAGCCCCGGGCUCAACCUGGGAAUUGCUUUUGAUACUGCUUAGCUAGAGUUUGGUAGAGGAUAGUGGAAUUCCAGGUGUAGCGGUGACAUGCGUAGAUAUCUGGAGGAACAUCAGUGGCGAAGGCGACUGUCUGGACCAAAACUGACGCUGAGGUGCGAAAGCGUGGGGAGCAAACAGGAUUAGAUACCCCCGUAGUC